AGAGUUUGAUCCUGGCUCAGGAUGAACGCUAGCUACAGGCUUAACACAUGCAAGUCGAGGGGCAGCAUGAAUCAAGCUUGCUUGAUUUGAUGGCGACCGGCGCACGGGUGAGUAACGCGUAUCCAACCUUCCCCCUGGUAGGGCAUAGCCCGGCGAAAGUCGGAUUAAUACCCUAUGUUCUCCUCUGAGAGCCUUUGACGAGGAGCAAAGAUUUAUCGCCAUGGGAUGGGGAUGCGUCCGAUUAGGCAGCAGGCGGGGUGACGGCCCACCUGGCCUUCGAUCGGUAGGGGUUCUGAGAGGAAGGUCCCCCACAUUGGAACUGAGACACGGUCCAAACUCCUACGGGAGGCAGCAGUGAGGAAUAUUGGUCAAUGGGCGAGAGCCUGAACCAGCCAAGUAGCGUGCGGGACGACGGCCCUAUGGGUUGUAAACCGCUUUUGCAGGGGAAUAAAGUUCGGCACGCGUGCCGUUUUGCAUGUACCCUGAGAAUAAGGACCGGCUAAUUCCGUGCCAGCAGCCGCGGUAAUACGUAGGUGGCAAGCGUUGUCCGGAUUUACUGGGUGUAAAGGGCGCGUAGGCGGGCAGGCAAGUCAGAUGUGAAAUCUCCGGGCUCAACCCGGAAAUUGCAUUUGAAACUGCAGGUCUUGAGUAUCGGAGAGGCAAGCGGAAUUCCUAGUGUAGCGGUGAAAUGCGUAGAUAUUAGAAGGAACACCAGUGGCGAAGGCGGUUUGCUAGGCUGUUACUGACGGUCAGGGACGAAAGCGUGGGGAGCAAAUAGGAUUAGAUACCCUAGUAGUCCACGCUGUAAACGAUGAGCACUAAGUGUCGGGUUACCGGUGCUGAAGUUAACACAUUAAGUGCUCCGCCUGAGUAGUACGGUCGCAAGACUGAAACUCAAAGGAAUUGACGGGCACCCGCACAAGCGGUGGAGCAUGCUGUUUAAUUCGAAGCUACGCGAAGAACCUUACCUAGACUUGACAUCCCUGGCAAUGCUAUAGAAAUAUAGCGGAGGUUACCCAGGUGACAGAUGGUGCAUGGUUGUCGUCAGCUCGUGUCGUGAGAUGUUUGGUUAAGUCCAACAACGAGCGCAACCCUCGUCUUAAGUUGCUAACAUUUAGUUGAGAACUCUUGAGAUACUGCCAGCGCAAGCUGGAGGAAGGUGGGGAUGACGUCAAAUCAUCAUGCCUCUUACGUCUAGGGCUACAGGCGUGCUACAAUGGCUGGUACAACGAGCAGCAACACGGCGACGUGAAGCAAAUCUCUUAAAGCCAGCCCCAGUUCGGAUUGGAGUCUGCAACUCGACUCCAUGAAGUUGGAAUCGCUAGUAAUCCCGAAUCAGAAUGUCGGGGUGAAUACGUUCCCGGGUGUUGUACACACCGCCCGUCAUGCCAUGGGAGUCGGUAAUGCCUGAAGUCGGUAGCCUAACCUGCAAAGGAGGGGGCCGGUGAGGGUAGGAUCGAUGACUGGGGUAAAGUCGUAACAAGGUA
Molecule: ribosomal RNA, 1487 nt
Filed under: uncultured rumen bacterium
Lineage: Bacteria
Description: partial 16S ribosomal RNA
Rfam family: Bacterial small subunit ribosomal RNA
Source: RNAcentral